Rana temporaria (common frog) is the source of this 795-nucleotide long non-coding RNA. RefSeq lists it as uncharacterized. The record is from RefSeq and is a predicted model, not a curated record. Lineage: Eukaryota; Metazoa; Chordata; Amphibia; Anura; Ranidae. The transcript is spliced from 2 exons.
CAGACAUUCAUUUUAGGCAAAAAAAAAAUCCUUUACAACUCCUUUAAGUUUUGCUUGUUGUUUCCACCAGGCCUCUUCUAUUUAUCAUUGAGAACUGUUUCUACCUGUUCAUGUCACAAGCCUUGCGUUAUCUUCGUCAUCCGUCAGUCCACCCCAGAGACAAAGAACGCAUGAAGCAGGAGCUCGCCUCUGAACUGAGCACUCUGGUCUCCAGCCUAUCAUGGUACAUGCGAUGUGGCAUCCCUUCCUCUCCUGCAGCUGGCCAAAAAGGUAGCUCUUGAAGCCCAGGAGCCAAAAAUUCAGCUGCUCCAAGCAUUUUUAUACGACAUGUACAGAGAUAGGAACUAUUGGGGACUGAUUGAAGAAUGUACAUAAUCUCAUUGACCAAGUCCAUGGACCACAACCAACCAUUAGACUGCUACCACCAAGAGACCACCGACCAUUGUUUUGAUACAGGUUUGUUAACCAAGAAGACCAGAAAGUAUCUUUUUAAAAUGCCACAUAUUCAUCAUGUAUACAAGCAUAGGCAGUGCAGAUUUAAGUAACAAAGCAACCAAUCUGAUUUUGAAUUGCUGUAGUCAGAGAUGAGGAAAUGGUUUGGUUGAUGUGUUGCACGGCCCUUACAGGAGACUAAACUGCCUCAUGGUGGUGUCAUUGCAUGCAGAGCUUGACACCACCAUGCCCACUGUGCCGCCCUUCAUUUUUCUUUUUGUAUGAUGGUUUGUUUUUUUCCUUGAAGACGGCUUGUAUUUUUGACAUCCUAUUUAUACUGAAAGUAAAAGAAACUUGAUAACA